Molecule: transfer RNA, 73 nt
Filed under: Muribaculaceae bacterium
Lineage: Bacteria; Pseudomonadati; Bacteroidota; Bacteroidia; Bacteroidales; Muribaculaceae
Description: tRNA-Gly
Rfam family: tRNA
About the family: Transfer RNA (tRNA) molecules are approximately 80 nucleotides in length. Their secondary structure includes four short double-helical elements and three loops (D, anti-codon, and T loops).
Source: RNAcentral
GCGAAAAUAGCUCAGUUGGUAGAUCACGACGUUGCCCAGGUCGGGGUCGCGGGUUCGAGUCCCGUUUUUCGCU